GAAUGCUGACAUAAGUAACGAUAAAGCGGGUGAAAAGCCCGCUCGCCGGAAGACCAAGGGUUCCUGUCCAACGUUAAUCGGGGCAGGGUGAGUCGACCCCUAAGGCGAGGCCGAAAGGCGUAGUCGAUGGGAAACGGGUUAAUAUUCCCGUACUUGGUGUUACUGCGAAGGGGGGACGGAGAAGGCUAUGUUGGCCGGGCGACGGUUGUCCCGGUUUAAGCGUGUAGGUGUGUGUUCCAGGUAAAUCCGGUUCACUUUAACACUGAGGCGUGACGACGAGGCACUACGGUGCUGAAGCAACAAAUGCCCUGCUUCCAGGAAAAGCCUCUAAGCAUCAGGUAACACGAAAUCGUACCCCAAACCGACACAGGUGGUCAGGUAGAGAAUACCAAGGCGCUUGAGAGAACUCGGGUGAAGGAACUAGGCAAAAUGGUGCCGUAACUUCGGGAGAAGGCACGCUGACACGUAGGUGAAGU
RNAcentral lists this ribosomal RNA (476 nucleotides) under Salmonella enterica. RNAcentral's name for it is "partial 23S ribosomal RNA". It matches the Rfam family "Bacterial large subunit ribosomal RNA", at positions 1292 to 1772 of the family's 2925-position model. Lineage: Bacteria; Pseudomonadati; Pseudomonadota; Gammaproteobacteria; Enterobacterales; Enterobacteriaceae. The record is from RNAcentral. RNAcentral also lists the same sequence under 3 other names.